Molecule: long non-coding RNA, 3658 nt
Organism: Musa acuminata AAA Group (dessert banana)
Lineage: Eukaryota; Viridiplantae; Streptophyta; Magnoliopsida; Zingiberales; Musaceae
Exons: 6
Source: RefSeq, a predicted model, not a curated record
CGCGUAACGAGGAGACGAUUAUUACCCAAAGAAAUUCCAUAGCACUACACAUGUCGAUGCCCAAUUUCCCGUCGACUACCAUCCGAUUGCGGGGAAGCUUAAGGCGAUUCGCGCGGCUCCCCUCCGCUUGUCUUCCCUUCCUCUCCUCUCUUCUUCUCCGAAUCUACCGCACGAGGUUCUCCAUGGCGUUGAUCGAUCGGAAACAGAAACAGGGAGAAGGAAGAGGAGUCUCGAUGCUCCUCUCCAAGCCGUCACCGGAUUCGCAUCAGCUCUCGUUGUCUCGUCGUGGAUUACUUGGUCUCCUUUAUGGGGAAGGAGAAAACUGAUCCUCAUAGCAUGAAGAAUCAAGAACUGACACAGGACUUGGGUAUUCAAAGAAGUAGGUAGAGUUGUACCUUCUGGUUCAAGACUAAGGUUGCAAUCUGGGAAGCCCUGCUUGAUGGGAUGCGAUGCUGCAGAACAGAUGACUGUAAUGCAAAGCUCCUACUUUUGUUAGAACCUGGUGAAGUUUCAUCAUUUCGACGACUUGAAACCCUUUUCUCACAGAUGAUUUCAUCAACAUCAACCUGGUCUUCUCUUUUUUGUACUUGAGAUUGUUUCAGCCUGAGUUUGUGUCUUGGAGAAACUGAUUCGACUGGUUUCCUAUUGUUAUGCUCACUUUGAGCCUUGUUCAUGUUGGGGAUACUGCAUCAAGUUUGAAUGAAAUUUCGGAGAAUUAUUAUUUCCCAUGGACCUUCUGAUGAUUUGCCUAUCUGUUGUUGAGAGAAGUGCCUGAAUGUUUGAUUCACCAAGUCUGACUCUAGGACUGUGGUCUCUCUCAGCUGUGAUGUUUGCUGAGCUUUUCUUUCUAUUACCAGCACUACUUGCUUCAUGACUACAAUUGGAGGAUCAAAAGCUUUUGGAGAACCACCUUCUUGUGCUGGUUGUUUCCAGACCUUUGGUGACCUUGAGUUCUGAGUGCUUCCCCUUGGAGUUCGGUCUGCGUAAUCUUCCAGCACAGAUAUCUUGUAGGGAUGAUCAUUAUCCUUUGUGGUCUGCGCCAGCCUCUUCGCGUGCAUAGCAGCUACUAUUUGUUUGAGAGCCCUGAGGUCCUUCUUUUGCUGCUGGAACUUAGGCCCUUUGAGUCUCUCCUCUAUCUCUUGGUAGAUGAACUGAGCUUCUUGGUACCCAGUUCUUGCUUUCUGUGGAGUCUGCUGUGUCCAAGGUGCGGUCUCAGUCAUGAUCUUUGAUUUGUGUUUCAGAAGCGAACGAUGAUCUUUUGGCUUUGCUAUUGUUGAAUCUCUGCUUUGAACAGCAUGAGGGAGCUGAUCACCUUUUGCUUCCCGAGUUCCUCUUGGUCUGGUUGCUGAGGUACAGUCUCUCGGUUCAUGGGAAGGAGCACAGCUUUUUCUGGCAACUGCUGCUUGAGCUGCUGAGUUCGAGCCGAGCAUUUCAUCCAAGCCCAUGAGCUUUGCGACGAUGCUGGGUUGUCGCUUUUGACUAAGAUCCUGAAGCAGAUUGGAAGCUCUAUUGACACUGGGACUGGUAGUAGUUUUGUCGAAGUCCUCCAAAGUUGAACUUGUUCUUGAAGCAAAGUUAGAACUCCUUUGAGCUCCUCGCCUGCUGUCCAGUGAGAGCCUUGGAAGCUCUCUAAGUUUGUUAGCGGGCUUACUGUUAUCUUGGGAAUCCAUCGACAGCCGCGAGAGUUCUCUUCCAUCAUAAGAGAAACGAGGUGAUCUCCGUGAUUCUUGGUAGAACGAGGUAUCAUUUGCUUCAUGAUCACGAAAACUCCAGGGUGCUUCCUUGAGUUCUACCAGGAGUCUGAUUGCUUCAUUGAGAUCAGCUGGCAUUCUCGUUUUGGCGAGCAGCACAGGCCUGGGCGAGUCCUUGUGCUUCACUUCAUGGUUGUUCACCUUCUCAGUUGAUGCAGUUCUGGUAGGAAAGCCCUGAGCGCCUUUCUUUAUGGGAUCUCUCACAGCAUUGUGGAAAUCAAGGGUUUGCAGAAUAGCCUUCGGGGUACUACUGCAGGAGUCAAAGCUUAUAGAUUUGGCAUCAUCUUCUGGUUUCUUGACCUUGGGUGAAUUCGCUAGUAGCGACUUCUCUUGAAAGAAUGCUCUGUCAAAGGAGCAGGCCUCCUGUCGAGAUGCUUUGACAGAUUCGAGAGAAGAAUAUGACGAGCUGGAUGAGGAACAAGAAGCUCUCGACGAUUCCAUGGAAGCUGUCUGGGUUUCGUUCAAGCUCUUGCUCAGAUUCUUCUCCUGCAUGUUAAAUUGAUAUCUGUCAAUCUUCUAUCGAUAGAGAAUAAAACAAUAGUAAGUAUGCUGAGGCUGAUACUUUACCUGAAGAAUCUGUGAAAAGCGUGGUUUUUGCUCUGACUCUUGUCUUCCAUUCUUUGGAAGAACAUGUCCUACCCAAGAACAAGAUCAAUAUUUCGUUAGGAUCUAACUCCAAAACUACAGUCUGCAGCAUAGACACAUAUCAGGGUAUCCAUUUUAAUUUGGUGGUAACAAUUUGGUGAUUCAAUUUGACAAUUGUCAAAAGAUGAGCACUUAGAUGGUCAUCAUUGAUGCUCAAUCGACACUUUUUCAGAACAAGAAUUUCUCCAUGAUAUUAGUUAUUUGUAAUACAGGAUCGAGGCAGUAUUAUUGUAUUAGUGGCUCAAGGCUUUACAAUCAUCAAAUUCUCCAUGUAUGUUCCUCAGGGGAUCCAACAGAAUCACAGAAGGGUCAGAAUCUUCAAAAUUAAAUUUGAGUUUGCUGAUGAUACAAAUGCCUCGACAAGGAGUCUCAUAAUUGAUUCAGCAAGAACCAGUUGGUACCUGAUGGAAGCUUCCUAUGGUUGUGAUCAUUGAGGCGCUUCCCAAUGAGGAGAUGGUGGCGGUCAAACAUCUGAAAGAUUCCGGCGAUGCACCCAAUUUGCUUCUGCAGAUCCAUAUUCUCAUCCGUGAACGCAUCGAGCAACUUGGCACGCAUUCUGAGCCGCUUUGAUUCCACGACUUCAAUAUAAGGCUCACAAAAAGGGAUCUGUUUUCUCGCUCUAGUGUUGGUCGAGUUCUGCAAGGGAAGGCAUGAGCAAACUGUGGGUUUAAGAAACCGAUUGUUGGGGAGGGUUCUGAGUAUAUGGUGAUAGAUUUGAGCUGGAAUCGAAGAGGCUAUGUUGAAGAUGGCUGUGAGGGGCCUUCCUCACACCUCGCGGGUCUUUAAGCAGCUUGCAUGGGCAUGUGAUGGCGGUCAGGAAGUACAGAGCAUGGUCGACUGCAAAUUGUUACCAGUAUCGUUCUCAGACUCUCCCUUCUUCUUUACCUGCUGUCAUUUUUAUGCACCAUGAUACGUGUCCAUACUCGAACACAAUCAAUUGGUUCAUUUAACUGUGACUCCAACAAGGUGGUCCUACGAACAGUUAGUGAAGGCAGCCAUCUGGAUUGUCUGCCAUUGCAGAAACUGUCGAAUCUAAACCAGUAGAAUGAAUGUUUCUUUGUACAGUAAAGAAGCUAUGACACACUACUUAUCCAUCAUGUUAGCCAUUUACAAUCUUGUUCUGGUUUUGUUAUGGAUAUGAGACUCCUGAGCUCAUCCUCCAAGUACAAGGACACAUGCUCCUAGUAGGAUAUAGGUCACUGUGGCCUUUUAGUUAAGCACAGUGAUACAUUUAUCUUGGUGGUGAUCUUUAAAACUGUUUA